AUAAUAUUAACAACAUCAACAACAACGGGCGGACAGUCGGCCAAACGAGCAGUGGCGUUUUCAGUCGUGGUUUAAGUGGUUGAGUGAAAUCAAAAGUUGCAAAAAAUGCUGAACCGGGGCCGGAAAAGGCGGAACUUUUCUCCAGGAGUUGCGCCAGCUGUCGAGCCGCUUGACGACCUCAGGUACAAGGAAAUCAAACGGUGCGCCCUGCAGAUGUACCGUGAACAGAUAAUGCUACCGUUCCUCUCAGUGACAUUGUUCAACGUAGAUUUGUCGUACUUCAAGAUUCCAGUUGGGAGUUGAACCUGGACCGAUUUCUAGUAGUUCUUUGAGACGUUCGAGUUAAUUUCGCGUUCAACGCAGAUUCCUUCUUCUUCCUCAACGGUACCAACCUUCAAUUUUUGUUUCAUUCAGACCACGGCACUCUCGAUCGUCGGCUGUCUCGACAUUAACCCGGUGACUAACGCUCGAGACACGGGCAUGGACACGUAAGAGAUGUUUGGUUCGGAUGAUGGCGUGGCAUUCUUGUUGACCUAAGUCAACUGUUGCAGCAGCUGUUUCGAAAGUAGGACGGCGUAUCACACGUGGCCUGCUUUACUUUCCAUAAGUCGCCACCGACGACGACAACAACUGCGUGUGCUCAUUAGCAAACACUCCCAGUCAACUCAAUCGGAAUUCUGAAACGGAAUUCAAUUCGAAUCGUUUACGUAUUCCGUUUCAAACGCAACAACCGGUACGUACACGGAAUCGGUUCAGAAAUCGAUUCAGAUUUCCGAUUGAGUUGAUUGGGUAGCUGCAGUUGUUCUUUCGGAAGUGCUAAGUUCAUACCGAUGCUUCUUAAUUUAGGGCUCAAUCAAUUUGAAACAUUUAUCAAUCCUACGUAAACCUAGAGGAGCAAAACGCAGUUUGAAAAUAAAAUAAUGCACUAAAGUAUGCUUUAUUUGUUAUUGAAGAUAAAAAUAAUAUGCUGAAUAUAAUAAUUUUGUUGUUUUUGUGCUAAGUAAUUCGAAAAAUCUGCAGCUGUACUCAUACAUAUCGGUUUCAUUCAUAAUUUUCUGAAAAUCAACCCCGGAAGUACCGCUUGGAAGUCUUGUCCAGUAUUCGUCGAACGACUGCAAGCAAAGUGGAAAUGACAAGAACCGAGUCAAUAAAAAGGAAUUUUCUUUAGUACGAACAUUAGAAAAAACGGGAACUAGAACUGAACUGCAACUCGACCAAUCGGUC
Molecule: long non-coding RNA, 1224 nt
Organism: Culex pipiens pallens (northern house mosquito)
Lineage: Eukaryota; Metazoa; Arthropoda; Insecta; Diptera; Culicidae
Exons: 3
Source: RefSeq, a predicted model, not a curated record